GCCCAGUCAAUGUGUCCUAUAUCCUUCCUCUGGCCCAGCUAUAUGGGACACCUGAACACAUUAACAGUACACCUGCUCUGUGCAGGUCAUGUUCUGCUCCCUAUUUUAUCUCCCUACUCCUCACUCUCUCCCCUGCUCCUAGUCACAAUAUUCACUGGGACAGGCUGGAGCCUGCUGAUCCCUUGCUGAAAUAAAUCAACAUGCCAAACCAGAAUAACUCUUCUUUGGAGGAGGAGGGGAUUGGGUUCAUCUUCUGCUGGAUCAGUUAGUUAAAUCAGCUCAGAAAGUGGUCAGCAAGGCAUGAGACACCAGAGUAGCAGAAGGGACUGCGCAGCUGGAAGCAGAACUGCUGCUUUCCAAAAGCAGUAGCAAGCUGUAAGAUCAGCUUACUAUCUCCACUGCACAACAGCCUAUAAUGUGGCAGAGAAAAAUUAUCCCCACACUAUGAAAGAGAUACACUACUUUCUCUUUCAGAAGAUAGUGUUAAGGAAAAGAGAGCACAGCUGUUUUUAAAGAAAAUGUUACAGAGCUAUCACAAACAGGGUUCCUGGGAUGUGAAUAUCAGUGUGGAGAUAGGUGCUUUCUGCCCCCAAAACAAGAACCACCACCUCAGAGAGCCACAGAUACCAGCCUUAGGUACAAACAUUUCCACACUUCUUCAAACCUACAGAUCUGAGCUCAAAGAUCAACAGCGCUGGAACGCUCUGCACCACACACUGGGAAUGAACAUUAAAGUUCUUACAAGGAAGUUUUUGCCCAGAAGCUACUUUUUUUGGAAACUGAGACAAAAGCAGACAUGGAGAAAGCAAGUACGAUGCUGCACUGAAAGACAACUACCCUCAAAACUUUUGCUUUAUGACGACCUAAGAGAAACGGAUGAUCCCAAGAGCACGACAUCCAAAUGGCUCUUCUCCUUUCUCUUCACAUCAGUGGAAUCAUAGGGGAUGGAGAGACAAAGAAGAUUCCCUGCUCUGCUUUCUCAGAAGUCUCUUCCACUGUCCCUAAGGAAUUCC
This 1013-nucleotide long non-coding RNA is filed under the name Apteryx rowi (Okarito brown kiwi). Its description in RNAcentral is "lncRNA (ENSARWG00000015728.1)". Lineage: Eukaryota; Metazoa; Chordata; Aves; Apterygiformes; Apterygidae. The record is from RNAcentral.